This 232-nucleotide ribosomal RNA is filed under the name uncultured bacterium. Its description in RNAcentral is "partial 16S ribosomal RNA". It matches the Rfam family "Bacterial small subunit ribosomal RNA", at positions 99 to 334 of the family's 1533-position model. The record is from RNAcentral.
CGGACGGGUGAGUAAUGUCUGGGAAACUGCCCGAUGGAGGGGGAUAACUACUGGAAACGGUAGCUAAUACCGCAUAACGUCGCAAGACCAAAGAGGGGGACCUUAGGGCCUCUUGCCAUCGGAUGUGCCCAGAUGGGAUUAGCUAGUAGGUGGGGUAAUGGCUCACCUAGGCGACGAUCCCUAGCUGGUCUGAGGGGAUGACCAGCCACACUGGAACUGAGACACGGUCCAG